Molecule: transfer RNA, 66 nt
Filed under: Birgus latro
Lineage: Eukaryota; Metazoa; Arthropoda; Malacostraca; Decapoda; Coenobitidae
Description: tRNA-Ile
Source: RNAcentral
GGUAUAGUUCUUUUAGAGAUUGACGCUGAUAAUGUCAAUUCCGUAACUUAAAUGUUACCUUUACCU